UCGAACUCACGAACCGAACCGUGAGAUCAUGACCUGAGCCCAAGUCGGAGGCUUAACCGACUGAGCCACCCGGGUGCCCCUCCCUUUUCAUUUUGAACACCGGCAAGCAAACAGACGAAAUCGAGAGGACAGUCUAAGGCAGCGCAGGUGCCCACCCCCCGGGGCUAGCGGCGGCCUCCAGCUUGCCUUGUUUGCUUGUUUCUCUCUUUCUCGGUUUCUCCCUCCCUUUGCCCUUCUAUCCUUCGCUCCCUGCUUUUCUCGCUCUCUCGCUCUCUCUUUCUCUCUCUCCUUUUCCCUUUCCUUUGUUUUUGUUGAAAUAGUUUACAGGAAGCGUGCAUACCAUUUUCUCCCUACGUGCUUCAAGAAGGAAGGACAUUUCCUCCCAUGACCCAGGGCCGUUAUCCAUCCAACCCACGCCCGGCGCGGGCUCCUGCUGUCGUCUGAGAGCCGCUGCACAGUCACCCUCCAGGCCCCCACUGCCUUUGACUCCUCUUUCCUUCACGCCAGCAUCUCAUCAAGGACUUCGUUACACUUGACCGUUGGCCGUCUGGUUAUCCUUUCAUCUGAAGCAGCCUCUCUCCCCCGCCUCGUCUUUUCCCCCUGGCGCCGAGACACGCAGGAGACCGGGAACAGCCCACCUUCUAGAUUGGGCCGGUUGCUCCCUUGUAGCUAGUGUCUUUAAGUGGUCCCUCUGUCCCCAGUAUCCUUUAUAAAACGGGUGUGGGGGCACAAGGCUGCACUAGAAUUGGGCCCAGCUUUGGCAAGAGCCUUGUGCCCUCCCUGGGGUGGCAUCGUCACAGGAGGCGUGUCCGACCUGUGUCCAGCAGCCGUUCGCUUAGCUUUCUGUCUCGGGACCAGCGGUAAGCAGGGGAAGACCUCUUGACAUCGUGCGGCUAUCCACGCCUCCUAGGCCUGUCACCCGGCGGUUUUCGCGUCCACUCCGCCUUAAGGGAUUCUUUCCGUCUGAUUAAUGUAAAUGUCUUCAUCAGACACAUGAGUUUAUUUCUUCUGGGCUAGUGUUGGGUGACAGCUCGUCACUGGCGAUAAGGGACCUUGCGGCAAUUUAAAUGCUCCGGGACCCCGUCCCCCCAUCCUCUCUCCUGUAGCAUGAAUAAGCUGGGGUCACCCACGCAGCAAAAGCAUCCUGGGCCCGCUCCCCACCAGCCACUGCCUGGCUCUUCCGCUUCCCCACCGGGGAAUUGCACAUUCUGGCCUCCAGCUGGGUGCGGAGCACAUCCUCGGAGCAAACUUUCUUUGGCCCCGCCGUUUCCUGGCACUGAGAGCCGAUGCGGAGGAAUCAGACACUGCCUGCUCUGUCCCUGACAGACUCUUCCUGCCCUUGGUGUGGAGUCGUAUGUGUGUGUUGGGAGUUUUUCUGUAAGGACCCUGACCUGAGAGGAAAAGGCGUCAGCAGUGGAGCUUCCGGGGAUGGCUGGAAAGUCGGGGUGCAGGGGUCCUGCCCCCAUGGGAAGAAAGGAAUGAGAAAGAGGAAGCCAAGGCUCGCCGGAGGUGGGCAGGACCCCCUGUCUGGCGGCCCACCGCCCAGGUGAGGGGAGAGGGCGGCAGCUCGGUCUGGGAAAGUGUUAUGGGUUGGACUGUGUCCCCCAAGAAAGAUGUGUUCGAGUCUUGCCCGCCAGCAGCUGUGACUGGGACCUAACCUGGACGAGGUGGUGCUGGACUAGGGCGGGCCUCAUCUCGCACUUGGCUUUUGCCAGUCCCCUUAGCUUGUUUGUACCCCCGCGAUGGCAGCCAUUCUCUUGAAGGCCGGACCCAAGGUGAGCGGGGCUCCCUGACCGUCUCCGUCCGCCCCCUCAUCAUGCCCCAGCCUCACAGCUCUGGCGACCCCGAGUCUCCCCUUAGCUGCUGAGUUCUCUGAGUCCCCACCCCCACCCCCACCCCCACCCCAUGUUUGGUUGCCUGCAGCCCUGGGAAUUUCUCACUUUAGGUGCCGGUAUCGUUUGAAGACGUGCCCGUGUACUUCAUCAAGACAGGAUGGAAGCUUCUGGACCUCAGCCAAAGGAUCCUCUACAAGAGAGUGUUGCUGGAGAACUACCGCCAUUUCGUGUCACUGGAUGCUGACGCUGGGCUGAGUUCAGGAGUGACUGAUCUGCUUCAUUUCCACGGACAGGACUUUUAGCCUCCAAGCCUCACCUGGUCUCCUGGCUGGAGCAAGGGGACGAGCCCCAGGCGGCAGACAUCCACGGGACACGGGCUGCUGCGGGGGUGCGGACGGGUGACGGGAUAGAGAACAGGACGUUGACUUCAAAGCAGAAGCAUUGCCCCCAAGAGCUCCCGAGGACUGACCCUCGGGCCGGUAACGAGAGCCAGGUGGCCCGGCCAACAGGGGAGACCGCUAAUCGCACAGGGUUCCGGCAGGGAUGACCAGCCCGGGGAGAGAGGUCAAGGCGGCUCCUCCGGUGAGGGAAGAGCGAUGAGGCGGAGAAGACAGGACGGCGUGAGGCGGGAUUAGGGUCUCAGGCCGCGGGGUGCGCCGGGCGCCGACAAGCGGCACCUGUGUCCGCGGUGUGGGAAAUCCUUCAGUCGCGGCCCCAACCUACUCAAGCACCGGUGCACCCACAGCGGCCACGAGCCCUACACGUGCGGCUAGUGUCUCAAGGCCUUCAAGGGAGCGUCCCAGCUCAUUCACCGCCAGCGCGUCCACAGCGGGGAGAAGCCGUUCGCGUGCGGCGAGUGCGGGAAGGCCUUCGGAGGCGCUCCCCCCUCUUCAAGCGCCGGGCGACUUGCGGCGAGGGGCGGCCCUGCGGGUGUCCGCACUGCGGGAGGGUGUUCCGGAGCCGCUCGUCCGUCCCUCCCGGAGCCCCGGCGCGCCCCGGGCGGCCAGCGUGGCCUAGCCUGUGAGGGGGCAGUGUGGCGCGGCGGCCCCCGCGGCAGCCGCGGGGGUGGGAAGCCCUCGGAGAAGAGCGACGGGGGAAAGGCGCCGGCCUGUUUGGGUGCGAGGGCCAGAAAGUCCGGGGACACCCGCGAAUGCGCGGCCACCGGCAGUACAGCCUGUUCGCCUGGGAGAGGGCCCGCUUUAAAGCCUGGGGCCUCCCGCUCCCCUGCCUUUGAUCGCUGAGGACACGACUGAAGCACGGAGACCUCAGAACAGAUCCAUGUUCUGUGCUGGAACUGCACAGAUGCCCCUACCCCACGCGGGUCAGCGCUGCGCUCCAGCGGGGCCCUGUCGUGGGCACAGCCGCCUCCGGUGAGGGACGAGCGGUCUGUCUCGUGUCGUGGGACCAUCCGCUUCGCUCCAAGACUUCUUGGUGUUUCCAGGUAAAAGCACUAAAAGCACUUUAAUCCUUUCAGAGCUCAUCAAGCGGGGGGGGGGGGGGAGCCUGACGGAAUUCUACAACUAGACUGUGGCCAGCCCGUGACAUCACCUCAAAUGCAUCAAGAAACUGUCCGAAAACGGCCUUGGGCGAACACAUUCGUGGACAGCUCACGCCCAGGUGUCAGGCUGCGGGAAGCGAUGUCUCCUCUCUAAGCCCGCAGCUCCAUGGGAGGAAACGGGACACUCUGCCAUCAUGCUGACUGGUGGCCGGCUCUUUUUCCGGGCCCUCUGUCCCCGUGCCAGAGAGGCGCAGCCUUCUCCUUUGAGAAGCAGCCCCCGGGGCCCAUCUUCUCGGAGCCCUGGGGCGGGGCAGGGGAGUCAGGGGACACUCUGGUCCCUCGCAGGAGCGGGCUCCGGGCAAGACCCCGCACGAGCUGUCCUGCUGCUAUCCGUCUCCUCCCGCCUGGUGCCCCGGGCUCACCCUACUUACUGCCGUCUGCCUCCCACACCCCAGCAGCACAGACCAGCCUGGCCUCUCUGCCCCUCCUCCCCACCCUCAGUGCCUAAAGCUUCACACUUAGCUGCUCUCCCUCAAGUGGCCACCUCUUGUGGCUGGUGCCGAUCAGGAACAAAACGAGACGGGCUACGAAUUUGCACACAGCAUGCCCAGUGAUGGCUCUCUCACCAGACCUUUCGUAUGAUAUUUCUUACAAUACUGCACGUUCACUUGCUUUCAGCAUUUUUGUAUUCAGGAGUAACGUAAGCUAGAGAUUUCGGCCAUAUAAGGAAGGGUGUUGGUGAAUCGCUCCUGAAAUAAGAAUCCCGCCAACCCUGUGAGACCUCAGGCAGGAGAAAGAGACACCCGAUGGGUGCGAUGGGUGCGGUGGUGAGCCUGGCCCCUCUUCUCCCUCCUCCCCCUGAGCCCCACGGAAACAGGGCGGCCCCUUCAAAUGGCACUUUCCUGCAGCCUCCUGCUGGCCAGGGGGUGGCGGCUGCUGGCAGGCUCUGCCCUGUUCUGUCCUCACCGUCCCCAGAGCCGGGUUCAGGAGUUCGGCCCCUGGGUGCUCUCAGCCCAGCGUCCUGGUUGGCUUGCCUCCUCCUUCCAGCCCCCUCCACUGCCGGGACCUCUGGCGGGCAACUGGUAGGUAUGCUGAGCACCCCCUGUGGGCCUCUGAGGAUCCUGUGCGCCUUCCCUGCCACACAGUGAGAGGCUCAAAGCACCCUCAGGACAGUGUGGGGAAGAUCUGGAAAUACAGGAUUUCUUCCGAGCAUGCUUCUUGGAGCUCCAGUCACUAGGACGACUCCAGGAGCAAGAGAUACAGAUAGAUAGAAACACAUUGACAUAGAAGUUUUAUAUAGCUAUAUUAGAAUGAUUUUUAGACACGACUUACAGGAAGUUCUAGAGUUCUUGCAACUUGCUUUUAUCUCAGAGCCCCUUUCACAGGGUCUGUGUCCCCUUGUCCUUCGAUUGCCUUCUGCUCUUUGUGUCACAUUCAUCUUUGUCGGCACCUCAGAAACAUGAAGUAUUAAGGCCACUGUCUUUGGAGUCCACGGACAGGACGUGUGGAAGCACGUGUUUUUAUGAGGCGCGAUCUUUGCCAGGGCUGGGGUGGGUGGAUUCAGGAAGCCAAUCCCAGUGCAGAACAAGAGACAGUGGCAGGAGGCAUUGGGAUGACAACUGCCACGUGGUGGUGGGAACUAGAAAGAGAUCAGAUCCCGGGGCUCUGAUGUCUGUUUCCAUCACUGUAGUAAGUGAGCCGUCUCAGCUCUGCAGGCCAGUCAGUAACCGGCUUCACUAAAGAAGAGUCAUAGCCCCCGUGGAAUGUCAUCCCAUGGGUUCUACUGGAUGAGCCACCUUGAUUUUGUGGUUUUCUUUCUAAUGUGCUCUGAAAUUGGGCUCCCACACAACUGGACGCAAAAGCUCACGCUACUGGAGGACAUCCUGCCGGCUUUACAGUCCCUUCCCCAAGAACUUCCCUGGACGUCGGCCCCGUCGCGCUUCUCGACUGGUGUGCUUCAGGGACGGCCCCGUAAGACACGGUGCCAGCGCACAGUGUGUCUGCCGUUGAGACCACUCGCCCUGUGAAACUGUGCAGACUUUCCAAGAGCCGUUUAAAUGCUGUGGCGGUGCCUCCACGUAACUGGUGAAUUGCCUCGACCGCAUUCAUUUACUUCGGGCGCGAACAAAUGAGGGUCUAAGAGUGCUGGCCUUAAAGGAGCCCUCUCGUGCUGUAAAGUAACCAGAUGGCAGUUGGGCUAAAGGUCCCAGGAAAAACUCUAAGUGUGGAAUCGUGGGGGAAAGCCAAGACACUACGUUGGCGUGAAGGGAAGGCAGAAACCCUGGAGGGCGAGACACAUGGGCAUCAAGAGCUGCCACCCCCGGCCGGUGGGACACCGUGACUCAGAUCAGGAAGGGCAGAGUGGCGCAUCCGUCCCCCGAGAGACCCAGCUGUGUCUUCCUCCCUGUUGCUUCUUCAGGCAACAUGGCGGCACGCACACUCACUCGGGUGGGUGCCCCGUCCAGCCCCGUGCGGGCCUGUAUAGAAGGUGGCUCCACCUUCACCCUUCCGUGGUUUGCUUCGUGGCCUCCCGCUGUGGGGGGACUCCAGGGUGGACACCUGUCUGUACUAUAGGCCCUGCAACCUCUCCAUCUCCGUCUUCCCCCAGCCAUGUUUGAGGUCCUCGGCCCUUUCCUCUGUCCUUUAUCUCUGAUGGUCAUUGAGCCACCAGAUCCCGUCCGUCCUCGAUUAUGGUUGCCCCAGCUGCGCCUGCCUGCGUGCGGCCGUGUUUGAGUUGCAAGGGCGGUCCUGCAGUUGUCACCUGACUGACGGCAGCAUCCUUGUCUGGGGCUUUACGUAGGCCCGGGAACAUAGAUCUCCGCAAAACGGGCCGUGUCUACAACCUUGCUCGAAUUGUAGCUCGCGAGACUAGCUCUGCUUUGCGAAGCUGGCAGGUGCUCCAAACAAAGAGGGAAGGCUGUGUUCCCUGUGACUGUGUGGCUAUAAUCCCAGACUUGCCCCCCAAGGGAGGGAAAAACAGGCCUGGGAAGGGGGCUCUCAGGAUUGUGUUGCCAUUGUCGCCAAACAUCCUUAGCUUCUACGUGUUUGCUUUGCUCUCGCUCCCGAGGUUGGUUCUGCUGGUGUUACGGCAGCAGGGGCGCAGCGGGAUGCCUACGGCACGGCUGAUUCUCCGUGAACGUCUCAGGACGGGCCAGGACCUUCACUCCUUCCCUCAGCCGGAGGAGCACAGCAGGCUUUCAGGGCCAGACACACUGAAUGACUGAAGACCCAGACACGCGGAGAAAAUGGCCGCAUAAGGAUGGAGGUAGAGACUGGAGUGACACGGCCACAAGCCAAAGAAUUUCUGGGGCCUCCGGCAGCUGGAAGAGGUGAGGACUGAUCCUCCUCUAGAGCCUCUGGAGGGUAUGCAGUCCUGCUGACCCCUUCCUUUCUGCCGGUCCUGCCUGAGCGCCCUCCCACGUGGCUGCUGCCGAGACGCAGGUUGUGAUAAAGGGGAAGAGAGCCUGCGUACUUUCAGUCAACAGAUCGACACUGAGGCCACGGGCACUUGCCAUUGGAUUUAGGACCUGGGCAGGUAAGUCUGGCUGAUCACAUCUCAAGAUCAUCUCAGAUGUAACUGUAUCUGCAAAGACCAAAUAAGGUCAUAUUCACAGGGUCCAGGGAUUAGGACGCGGACGGACCUUGCGCAUGGCCCCCAUUCGACCCGCCACAGAUGGGAACGCGCGUGUCGUGUUGUUCCGUGUGGCUGGAGCUCAAGGAGCCGGAAGAAAGGAUGACGGAGGCCGCGCGAAGAGUACGUGCUCAACACGUAAUCACCUUCCGGCCACGCUGCGCUGUCGCCAUUUACAGAUGAAGCUGAGGCCAACCUGUUAGGUGACCCCAGCUGGUCACAGACUUGGGGAACAGGGAGCAGAGGGGCAGGACCCGGCACCCAGGCCCUGCCCCUGCACAGCCCACGCCGGGUCCUUUCUCACCGCCAUCCUGGGGCCCAGACCAGAGUAGGCACAUGGCGGGGGGGGGGGGGGGGGAAGAGGUCAAUGCCUCGUUGCUCUUUGUCGGUGAGCAGGCUCUCCAGGUUCUCAACCUCUCAGGCACCGGAGGGCAAGGACGGUGCUCCAUGUACCCCAGUUGUCGGGGUCUGAGAAUAGGUUUCUAGCCGUCAACGUUUUCUGAAGUGGCCGGAAAGUCUGCGCCCAGCCCCGUACCAGCCGGCCUCCUCCUGCCCUCCUGCCGGGUGGGCCACCAGCCCUUCCCUGCCGCCAUCACACCCGUCAUCCUGCGCCAGCGGCCCCGCGCUUCCUGCCUUCUCUUCCCGGCCCAUGUGUCAGGCCCAGGGCAGCCAAACAAGCGCUUCCCCAGACUCCUAGUUUGGCCAGGUUGGUGGAGGUGAGAAGAGGCAGGGAGCCAGUAGGGGAGCUUGCUGGGGAGGGGACAACCCACCUAGGCAUUUGAGAGGCCACGCGCCAAGUGUGCGGGCAAGCUGACCCUGGCACUCCGGGCCUGCGGUCUACACCUUGGGGCUGCGCCCGGGGCGCCGCCUCGCUCAGCCUGCGCCGCUGGAAAGGCCAGUCAAAUGCAAAUGUGGCAUGAGAUUUCCCCGUCGGGAGACCUUUCUCUUGUCCCUUCCUCAGAGCACCUGGGUGAGAACCCUAAAUAAGCCUCUGGCCAGCCUUUCGGCCCAGGAAGGUUCUUCUUAAGGGCCCCUUUGAAAUGCAAACCCCGAGGAGAGUAGGCCCCUAGCGCCGGCUGCACUGAGAAGGCUGUCUUUGUCCUUAGGAUAAAGGGAAUGCGAGGGCACAGAAGGCCCCCCUGACUACCAGGUGAACUGGCCGCCAGCUAGGACGGCGAUCUUGAGAAGUGUGCAUGGUUUUGUACACUAAUUAUACCCCAAUAAAGCUGGGAUGAAAAAUAAAAUUUCAUUUUAGGGGCAGCUGGGUGGCUCAGUCGGUUACGCAUCCGACUUCGGCUC
Herpailurus yagouaroundi (jaguarundi) is the source of this 8263-nucleotide RNA transcript. It is a transcript of the gene named zinc finger protein 92 homolog, with no coding region annotated. The transcript is spliced from 7 exons. The record is from RefSeq and is a predicted model, not a curated record. Lineage: Eukaryota; Metazoa; Chordata; Mammalia; Carnivora; Felidae.